GGAUUAGAUACCCUGGUAGUCCACACCGUAAACGAUGAGUGCUAGUUGUCGGGUUGCAUGCAACUCGGUGACGCAGCUAACGCAUUAAGCACUCCGCCUGGGGAGUACGGCCGCAAGGUUAAAACUCAAAGAAAUUGACGGGGGCCCGCACAAGCGGUGGAGCAUGUGGUUUAAUUCGAAGCAACGCGCAGAACCUUACCAACCCUUGACAUACCUGUCGCGGUUUCCGGAGACGGAUUCCUUCAGUUCGGCUGGACAGGAUACAGGUGCUGCAUGGCUGUCGUCAGCUCGUGCCG
This 296-nucleotide ribosomal RNA is filed under the name uncultured bacterium. RNAcentral's name for it is "partial 16S ribosomal RNA". It matches the Rfam family "Bacterial small subunit ribosomal RNA", at positions 775 to 1067 of the family's 1533-position model. The record is from RNAcentral.